AUGAUACAUUGCCUAUGGUUCACUGUGAUUGGCACCCACCUUUUAGAGCGUCAGUUUACUGUUUAUGCUGCUGAUAGCUUGGACAGUGUCUACAAGAAAAACAACUUUCGAGCAUUUAACUCAGACAGAUCUUCAGAAAAUACAGUUACUCAGAAAUGCUCAUCUUUGCAGGCCGUCAUACAAUCUAAUAACAUAUUGUUCAAACCGGGUUUUGAAAUGUGUCUCUACAAGAUGGCCAUGUUAUUCAGAUGCCAUGUGUUGCUCAGCAACAAGCAAAGGAUCCUUGUGCAGUGGAUCUUGCUAUCCAUGGCCAAAUCAAGCCAACUCAAUAUCCAAGGUUGA
This 342-nucleotide ribosomal RNA is filed under the name Triticum aestivum (bread wheat). Its description in RNAcentral is "partial small subunit ribosomal RNA". Lineage: Eukaryota; Viridiplantae; Streptophyta; Magnoliopsida; Poales; Poaceae. The record is from RNAcentral.